Molecule: ribosomal RNA, 490 nt
Filed under: uncultured bacterium
Lineage: Bacteria
Description: partial 16S ribosomal RNA
Rfam family: Bacterial small subunit ribosomal RNA
Source: RNAcentral
AUUGAACGCUGGCGGCAGGCCUAACACAUGCAAGUCGAACGGUAACAGGAAGAAGCUUGCUUCUUUGCUGACGAGUGGCGGACGGGUGAGUAAUGUCUGGGAAACUGCCUGAUGGAGGGGGAUAACUACUGGAAACGGUAGCUAAUACCGCAUAACGUCGCAAGACCAAAGAGGGGGACCUUCGGGCCUCUUGCCAUCGGAUGUGCCCAGAUGGGAUUAGCUUGUUGGUGGGGUAACGGCUCACCAAGGCGACGAUCCCUAGCUGGUCUGAGAGGAUGACCAGCCACACUGGAACUGAGACACGGCCCAGACUCCUACGGGAGGCAGCAGUGGGGAAUAUUGCACAAUGGGCGCAAGCCUGAUGCAGCCAUGCCGCGUGUAUGAAGAAGGCCUUCGGGUUGUAAAGUACUUUCAGCGGGGAGGAAGGGAGUAAAGUUAAUACCUUUGCUCAUUGACGUUACCCGCAGAAGAAGCACCGGCUAACUCCGUG